Molecule: ribosomal RNA, 1498 nt
Filed under: uncultured bacterium
Lineage: Bacteria
Description: bacterial SSU rRNA
Rfam family: Bacterial small subunit ribosomal RNA
Source: RNAcentral
AGAGUUUGAUCAUGGCUCAGGAUGAACGCUGGCGGCGUGCAUAACACAUUCAAGUCGAACGGAGUUAUUCCUUCGGGGAUUACUUAGUGGCGGACGGGUGAGUAACGCGUGAGCAACCUGCCCUUGUGUGGGGGACAACAGUUGGAAACGACUGCUAAUACCGCAUAACACACACUGAUCGCAUGUUCGGUGUGUCAAAGAUUUAUUGCGCAAGGAUGGGCUCGCGUUGGAUUAGAUAGUUGGUGAGGUAACGGCUCACCAAGUCGACGAUCCAUAGCCGGACUGAGAGGUUGAACGGCCACAUUGGAACUGAGAAACGGUCCAGACUCCUACGGGAGGCAGCAGUGGGGAAUAUUGGGCAAUGGGCGAAAGCCUGACCCAGCGACGCCGCGUGCGGGAAGAAGGUCUUCGGAUUGUAAACCGCUUUUAUGAGGGACGAUAAUGACGGUACCUCAUGAAUAAGCCACGGCUAACUACGUGCCAGCAGCCGCGGUAAUACGUAGGUGGCAAGCGUUAUCCGGAUUUACUGGGUGUAAAGGGUGUGUAGGCGGGAAAGCAAGUCAGAUGUGAAAUUUACGGGCUCAACUCGUGAACUGCGUCUGAAACUGUUUUUCUUGAGGGUCGGAGAGGUAACUGGAAUUCCUGGUGUAGCGGUGAAAUGCGUAGAUAUCAGGAGGAACACCGGUGGCGAAGGCGAGUUACUGGACGAUUACUGACGCUGAGACACGAAAGUGUGGGGAGCAAACAGGAUUAGAUACCCUGGUAGUCCACACUGUAAACGAUGAAUGCUAGGUGUGGGGACGUAAGUUUCCGUGCCGCAGUUAACACAAUAAGCAUUCCACCUGGGGAGUACGGCCGCAAGGUUGAAACUCAAAGGAAUUGACGGGAGCCCGCACAAGCAGUGGAGUAUGUGGUUUAAUUCGACGCAACGCGAAGAACCUUACCAGGACUUGACAUCCCUUGACUACCUCGUAAUGGAGGGUCUCGAUCUUCGGAUUGACAAGGUGACAGGUGGUGCAUGGUUGUCGUCAGCUCGUGUCGUGAGAUGUUGGGUUAAGUCCCGCAACGAGCGCAACCCCUACGGUUAGUUGCUACGCAAGAGCACUCUGGCCGGACUGCCGUUGACAAAACGGAGGAAGGUGGGGACGACGUCAAAUCAUCAUGCCCCUUACGUUCUGGGCUACACACGUACUACAAUGGCGAAAACAAAGGGAAGCAAUAUCGCGAGAUGGAGCAAACCCCAUAAAAAUCGUCUCAGUUCGGAUUGGAGGCUGCAACCCGCCUCCAUGAAGCUGGAAUUGCUAGUAAUCGCGGGUCAGCAUACCGCGGUGAAUACGUUCCCGGGCUUUGUACACACCGCCCGUCAAACCAUGAAAGUCGGAAAUACCCAAAGUCAGUAUACUAACCUCGUGAGGUAGCUGCCUAAGGUAGGUUCGAUGAUUGGGGUUAAGUCGUAACAAGGUAGCCGUAUCGGAAGGUGCGGCUGGAACACCUCCUU